This 1589-nucleotide long non-coding RNA is filed under the name Homo sapiens (human). RNAcentral's name for it is "HSALNT0391774". The record is from RNAcentral. Lineage: Eukaryota; Metazoa; Chordata; Mammalia; Primates; Hominidae.
UCCGCCCACCUCGGCUUCCCAAAGUGCUGGGAUUAUAGGCAUGAGCCACCACACCCAGCCAAAAGACCAUUUUUCUUAAGACCAUGACCCCUUGAACUCCAUUCAUCCAAUUUUCCUUAGCUCCCAGACUGCCUAUCAAAGCCAUUCACAUUCCUUGUGUCACCACCGUGGGCCCUGUCCUCUUUACUCUGUGCCAUCUGCCAGGCAGCCUGCUUUCCCAGGGGCACCCACAGCCCCCUGGUAGGUACAUGGAGUCUCUCUUCCUGGACUCGGCAUCCUCUGUCUCUUUCCUGUGUUUUGUGUAGUGGGAGUUGGCGGAGGGAUUCCCUCCCUCAGCCUCAUGACCCUCCCCAGUUUAGCAUCCAUGGACCCACUGGGGGUCGAGCACCAGCAGUGAACAGACCUGGGGUCUCAGUUUGACCCCUUCGUAGCUAUGUGACAGUGUUGAGGGAGGCACCUCUUCGCUGGGUCCUGGUGUACUCGGCUGUACCACACAGGCCCUCAAGGCACCGUGGAGGGCAGGACUGGACAGAGCAGUGGCAGGUGCCCGUGAGCGGAAGGGGAGCAUUGAGGUGGAGGUAGCCAAUUCUGUUUCUCCCUGCGCUGGUCCCUGUGAGUGAGUGUGUGUAACUUCCACAUGCAAGGGCGGCUGCUGUCCAACAUGAGGCAAGCAGGACUUCUCUCCCCCACUCUGCGCUGAGGAUGGGCUGGGGAGGAAACGAGGCCUGAAGGCGUCCAGGCUCCGGGAUGUCUCCCUCUGCACCGGUCUCAUCAUUUCGGUGCAGAUUGAGGUUUCUUCUUGUGAAGGCUGUUAACAACCAAGUGAGAGCCGGGCUAUCAAAUGCCGAGUAAUAAGAUGCCUGUACCUGCUGCUUCCUGGCCGGAGUGAUGGUGCAUUUCUGCUGCUGAAAUUGCAUGUGGAUUAAUUAAAACGGGAAACUUUCUUUGCUGGCUGUUGAUCAAGGACUGCCCUCAGUUUCCUGCUGCAGAAGCCUCUUUGUAAAGCAGCUAUGGCAGGAAGAGUCACCCUCAGAGCCGGCGAGAGAGAGAGGGGUCCAGCCCACACCCAAGGGAAGGAGAUUCCGCAAGGGCAUGGAUACCAGGAGGGACGAAGAAGAGGGACAAAAAGGGAAAACGAUUUGCUGUCAUUGUAUCCACAAAGUGCACAUUUUCUUUGUACGGCUGAAAUGUCUGUGCGUCUGAGAGCUUGCAAGCUUGUCUGAAAUGGUCUAAUUGCCUGAUCUCAAUCCUGGCUGGGUGCCUUGCAUCUGGCUUUUCAUGGAUUUGAAUUGGGAGGGGCCGUUGGGGGAGACUCUCCUAACUCAGGGAUAUUUUUAGGAAAUCAAAGUUUGCUUUUCUGGGUCGAUUCUAUCCUCUGUCAUCGCCACCUCCCAAGCUGCCUCCGCGGCUCUUGUCACUUGCCAUUGUCCCUGGGCUCUGGUGGGAGGCCAGUCCUGUGCUGCUGAAUUGGAAUCAGGACCAGAACAGUCCUGACUGUCCCUAUGGGACCCAGGCCGGGGGUACCCCACCCAGCCCUGUGCCAGGGGCUUUGUGUAAGUCAGCAGUUCUCAAAGUGGGGCCCUCUGAGA